Molecule: transfer RNA, 72 nt
Filed under: Clostridiales bacterium
Lineage: Bacteria; Bacillati; Bacillota; Clostridia; Eubacteriales
Also listed under: 1 other name
Description: tRNA-Gln
Rfam family: tRNA
About the family: Transfer RNA (tRNA) molecules are approximately 80 nucleotides in length. Their secondary structure includes four short double-helical elements and three loops (D, anti-codon, and T loops).
Source: RNAcentral
UGGGAUAUAGUGUAAGGGGUAACACACCAGACUUUGACUCUGAUAUUACAGGUUCGAAUCCUGUUAUCCCAG